UGCCCCAGUAACGGCGAGUGAAGCGGCAACAGCUCAAAUUUGAAAUCUGGCCUCGGCCCGAGUUGUAAUUUGCAGAGGAUGCUUCUGGCGACGUGCCUUCCGAGUCCCCUGGAACGGGGCGCCGGAGAGGGUGAGAGCCCCGUACGGUUGGACGCCGAGCCUGUGUGAAGCUCCUUCGACGAGUCGAGUAGUUUGGGAAUGCUGCUCUAAAUGGGAGGUAAAUUCCUUCUAAAGCUAAAUACCGGCCAGAGACCGAUAGCGCACAAGUAGAGUGAUCGAAAGAUGAAAAGCACUUUGGAAAGAGGGUUAAACAGUACGUGAAAUUGCUGAAAGGGAAGCGCUCGCGACCAGACUCGCGCCGGGCGGAUCAUCCAGCGUUCUCGCUGGUGCACUUCGCCCGGCCCGGGCCAGCAUCGGUUCCGAUGGGGGGACAAAAGCUUGGGAAACGUAGCUCCCCUCGGGGAGUGUUAUAGUCCCUCGCCUAAUAUCCCCGCCGGGACCGAGGACCGCGCCUUGUGCAAGGAUGCUGGCGUAAUGGUCGUCAGCGACCCGUCUUGAAACACGGACCAAGGAGUCGAACAUUUGUGCGAGUGUUUGGGUGGAAAACCCUCACGCGUAAUGAAAGUGAACGGAGGUGGGAGCCUCGGCGCACCAUCGACCGAUCCUGAAGCUUGUCGGAUGGAUUUGAGUAAGAGCAUAACUGUUCGGACCCGAAAGAUGGUGAACUAUGCCUGUAUAGGGUGAAGCCAGAGGAAACUCUGGUGGAGGCUCGCAGCGGUUCUGACGUGCAAAUCGAUCGUCAAAUAUGGGCAUGGGGGCGAAAGACUAAUCGAACCAUCUAGUAGCUGGUUUCCGCCGAAGUUUCCCUCAGGAUAGCAGUGCUGAUCUCAGUUUUAUGAGGUAAAGCGAA
This 910-nucleotide ribosomal RNA is filed under the name Rambellisea halocynthiae. RNAcentral describes it as "partial large subunit ribosomal RNA". It matches the Rfam family "Eukaryotic large subunit ribosomal RNA", at positions 76 to 1017 of the family's 3401-position model. Lineage: Eukaryota; Fungi; Ascomycota; Sordariomycetes; Lulworthiales; Lulworthiaceae. The record is from RNAcentral.